CUUUGCAAACAGGGUGUAGUAGUGAAAUACCAAGGACAGAAGUUGAAAGGCUUAAAUUUUCUGAUUUUUCAUCUGUCAGUCAUGCUACCGAGAAACUGCCAGAUGCGGAUAAAAAAACUUCUGCCUCUUUUUUAGCAUCAGUGAAAACAUCAUUGCCAGAGCAGAAAAACCAUUUACAUACUUCAUCUUUACCGCCGAAUUGCCACCCUGGUAUUGCAGCAAACAAUCCUGCAUGUAAUAGUCCGCG
RNAcentral lists this unclassified non-coding RNA (247 nucleotides) under Hevea brasiliensis (rubber tree). The record is from RNAcentral. Lineage: Eukaryota; Viridiplantae; Streptophyta; Magnoliopsida; Malpighiales; Euphorbiaceae.